RNAcentral lists this ribosomal RNA (425 nucleotides) under uncultured bacterium. RNAcentral's name for it is "bacterial SSU rRNA". It matches the Rfam family "Bacterial small subunit ribosomal RNA", at positions 355 to 787 of the family's 1533-position model. The record is from RNAcentral.
UGGGGAAUAUUGCACAAUGGGCGCAAGCCUGAUGCAGCGACGCCGCGUGGGGGAUGACGGCCUUCGGGUUGUAAACUCCUUUCGCUAUCGACGAAGCCACUUGUGGUGACGGUAGGUAGAUAAGAAGCACCGGCUAACUACGUGCCAGCAGCCGCGGUAAUACGUAGGGUGCAAGCGUUGUCCGGAAUUACUGGGCGUAAAGAGCUCGUAGGUGGUUUGUCGCGUCGUCUGUGAAAUCCCGGGGCUUAACUUCGGGCGUGCAGGCGAUACGGGCAUAACUUGAGUGCUGUAGGGGAGACUGGAAUUCCUGGUGUAGCGGUGAAAUGCGCAGAUAUCAGGAGGAACACCGAUGGCGAAGGCAGGUCUCUGGGCAGUAACUGACGCUGAGGAGCGAAAGCAUGGGUAGCGAACAGGAUUAGAUACCC